GUGAGGAAUAUUGGUCAAUGGGCGAGAGCCUGAACCAGCCAAGUCGCGUGAAGGAAGAAGGAUCUAUGGUUCGUAAACUUCUUUUGCAGGGGAAUAAAGUGCAGGACGUGUCCUGUUUUGUAUGUACCCUGAGAAUAAGGAUCGGCUAACUCCGUGCCAGCAGCCGCGGUAAUACGGAGGAUCCGAGCGUUAUCCUGAUUUAUUGGGUUUAAAGUGUGCGUAGGCGGACUGUUAAGUCAGUGGUGAAAUCCUGCAGCUUAACUGCAGAACUGCCAUUGAUACUGAUAGCCUUGAGUUAUGUAAAGGUAGGCGGAAUGUGUAAUGUAGCGGUGAAAUGCUUAGAUAUUACACAGAACACCAAUUGCGUAGGCAGCUUACUGAGCAGACACUGACGCUGAGGCACGAAAGCGUGGGGAUCGAACAGGAUUAGAAACCCUUGUAGUCC
Molecule: ribosomal RNA, 445 nt
Filed under: uncultured bacterium
Lineage: Bacteria
Description: partial 16S ribosomal RNA
Rfam family: Bacterial small subunit ribosomal RNA
Source: RNAcentral